This 5010-nucleotide long non-coding RNA is filed under the name Orussus abietinus. RNAcentral's name for it is "uncharacterized LOC105699356, transcript variant X1". Lineage: Eukaryota; Metazoa; Arthropoda; Insecta; Hymenoptera; Orussidae. The record is from RNAcentral.
CGACUCUGACUGGCGGUGGUCUACCCAAUCCGUAGCUUUUGUACCCUCGGCCUCGCGGAUGCUCCCCGUUCCCUGCCUCGACGCUUCCUGAUUAUCGGGUCGAGAUAACCAGCUUGUCCUCGUAAUCGAUUUCGGGAAAAGGGGGAUAAGAGCUCCUCGACGAGGGGGAAGUCGAGGACUACCCGGAGAAGAGGGGCUCGGGCGAUUUCCCGAUUUUCCGAUUUCGAGUCGCCGAUACGGAAAAUUGACCGCAAUGGAUUAUGCAUCGGUGACCCCCGGGGCUCGAGGGCCCUCCGGUUGAAAGAUUGACGCGAAACCCAUUAAUUCCCGCGGAGAGGCCCUCCAUCAAAAUUUCUCAUCCCGGCCAGGCAUUGAGGGAAUCGAGCUUCCCGCGGGAAUCGCCUUCUAGGCCUACCAGGAAAGUAUUUUGGCUCCCUACGAAUGUAUAACUCGAAACCGUCAGACCGGUCGAUUAAAAUCCCACCCUUUUAUCAAAGGGUACUCCAGCGAAUUGACGGAAAUUUUAGGACACGACUGGUGACCCAUUGAACUUGUCAAAAGUGUCGGGAGAUUUUUUAAGAGCCCCCGAAUACUCUAAAAAAAAAUUACUUGUCUUGCUCCAAUUGAUAGGUAUCGAUGGUUUCGGGUCGCUUCAAGGAGUCCCAAUUGUCAGGAAAUUUCUAAACCCAAGGACAAUGGUCACCGAGCAGUCGUACCCCGGAUUACCCUUCGAUCUUCGAUUCUCGAGGAGUUCCACCCCAUUGGGACUCGACCGGGCGAGAAAUUGCGCGAUUCGGUACUCCCUAAAAUGCAGCCCGAGAAAAAGUGUCGAGGGCACGCGAGGAGUAGCCGAGGUCCUUAAGGGAGAGGACCCCCUCCCUCGGGGGAGGUCCCGGGGAGGCAGCAAUCUCCUGCUCUCCUUCGGGAGAAACGUUGAUCCCGGCUGCGUGACCAACAUUCCGAGAUUCCCGAGGGAGGGCUGGACUAAUCGUCGCGCCUUCCCACGGGAAUGCCAAGGAAUACCGCGAGCUCGAAUGUCAAGGAGGACUCACCGUCUCCGGGAGGAACUGGGACGCUUACGUGACCCUCUGGAGCGAAGGGACCCGGGAUCGCCCAUCAAGGAAUUAAUCCCCCUCGAGUCGGUACAGUUUUGGGAGAGAUUAGGGGAGAUCUCUCCCUCCACCCCCCGAUCGCAAGAGGAGCGAGUACGCUGCAGAUACUUAGAGUACUUACGGGUGUUACAGCGACUCGAAGGACGAUUGCAGGGCCUGCAUCGCAAAAUGCAGAUACCGACACCUUUUGAGACCACCCCGGAUUCUCCGAGGAAAUUUCCCUGGCAGGAGCUGCUUUCAAUCACCGGAGCCUCGGCUGAUCGACGUCGCGUACGCGACAAGGGUAUCGAAAUCACCGGGAAAUGCCGGAGAAAAAUAGGAGGACGGGAGAUAGAGAGAGCGCCGAAAAGCCGGCCGAAUGGAUGCGCUUUAAUAUUAUCUCCUGCAUGAAGAAUGGGGCGAGGAUGUACCCGGGGAAAUAUCGGGGAAGGCCAUUUUCUCGGGCCCGAUUCUCCCUGACGAGGCCGAGUCGUCGAGGGGCUGCUCUCAAAUUACUAUUCCCGUUUUCUUUUCAUUUUCCUUUUCUUUUCACUUUUACUCCUAGGAGCCGCCGGGCGCUCUUCCUCCGAUCAGCUGAUCGCGCUUAGGGAGGGCUGGAAUCACGCGGAGGCGGUUUAGGGGGGCUGAUACGAUUGAUAAGAGCCGGCGAUUCCUUCUGGCGAUAAGUCGGGAUCUCGAGGGCAUAAUGAGAGGGCCCGGAGGUAAUAAGUGGAAAAUAAUGACGUUUGUCGAGGAGGAGAAGCGCUCGAUCGAUGGUCGAGUGGGAGCGCGCGGUAUGAAAGGCGAAUCCCACAAAGAGAGGGCCUUGAGGGAAAAGGCGGGGAAAAAAGGUGCCGAUAUCGAAAGGAGCAGCCAGACGCGAUAGACGCGUGGAAUAAACCGAUUCGUCGCGCGGCAGUCCAUAGAUUAGGUGUUCAGAAGCCAAUCAGGACUCGGGAUAAAAGGAGGACCCCGACCAUCUUAGACUUCCCUCUCCGCCUUUCGCGCGAUCCCUCCACGUGCAAAUAAGGAAAUCAUUUAUUCACGUUCGGAGAAGAAUCCAGCGGUAAUGAAUUUUUUUUCCUGUUUUUUUUUUUCGCCUCCUCGGUAUCAAUAAAUAUAAAUGAGAUGAUCGAUGCGGUCUUCCAUUUAUAUCGCGAGGAAAUCCAGGACGACGUUUUAUCCUUCGGGAGAAAAUGUCGGCGACGCGACGCUGGGUAAUCAAUCGACCGGCGGUCCUGGAUCCUGGGAUGAUAAGCCGAUAAAUAUUCAGAUAUAAAUUGAGGACCUCCUCGUUAGUAUGGAUGCGAAGGGGAACACUUGGCUCGACGCGCAAUUAAAAGCCUGUCGAGGAGGAGGUCCAAUUGGCCGGUCGCGAAAAAUCCCCGGAAAUACGGAAAUCCGGGGAAAUCCUCGAAUCCGACUCGGACUCCUCGUCUCCGGGGAAUUUCCCGGACGAUCGGCGCGACUCGUUCGCGCUCGACCAAAUCCUCGAUAUCGAGUUAUUCCCGAUUUACUCGCCGGAGGAAGCCGAGAAAAAGGAAACGAGGGGAGAGUUCCUCCACCCUCUCGCGACGGGCGCUCCUGAUUUCUGACACCUCCGGGAGCGAAAUGCAAAUACUUCGUUUGGCGAGCUGCGAAGUCGCGCCUUGAAGAAGAAAAAAAAAAGAGAGAGAGAAAAAAAAUUGAAAUCCCCCUGAAAGUUGAGAAUUUUCAAUAUUUCUUUUUUUCUUGCGGCGAGCACUUCCACGGUGUCUAUUUUUGAUAACACCCAUAUUGACUCGAUCACGCGAGGCGGGGGUGUGAGGGGAAAAAAAGGGUGCAGAGGGGCGAAGUCGCGUCCUCCGAAGAUUUCGGCUCGGUCUAUCGAAUGUAGGUUAUUGGGAUGCAGGGUGGAGGGGUGGUGGCGGGUCUGAAUAUCGCUGAUGGUGCCAUGUUGAAGCACCCUUCGCCGCUCCGGGCCGAGUUUCUCCGUCUAACCUCAACCCUCUUUUGCCUUUUGCCUUGAGCGGCCCUGGGGCUCCCUUCGACCCUACGACCGAUCGAUUCCCUAUCGAUGUUUUCCCGCGUCGAGACUUUAAACGCGGAUGCGAUCGAUCGGUUUGCCCACAGGUGGGACAGGUCGGAUCGAUCGGGUCGACAAAUGGUCCCGAAGGAACGAUCACAAGGAUCCCGGAACUUCUGAGACGAGCUCGGGGAAGGAAUCGUCGAUAAUCGCCGGCAAAGUCGGCCAACCGAGUCCUCCUGCCUCGUGGGGGGGGUUUAAUUUGCGACGAUUAAUGUUUACCUAGCCGACUAGCAUCCGACCAUCCAUCCGAGGAGUAUGGCUGGAUGCCGGGAGGUAACUCGGCGCUCCUCGACUCGGUACACACGGAGGGCAUCGGUGGGGCAUAAGGGGUGCAUCGGGGCGCACGUCGCCCGUCGAAGGAGGAAAGAGCGUUUUCAGGGACGAGAUUAAAUCCAGCCUUCUCGGGGGCGACUUUGAUUCCAGGAGUCGCCGAGUUAAACGGCUCCGGGGAAUAGGGGAAACCCUCUCGCGAGCACGUCUCGGUAGAUCCGAGCUCUCGCUCCGGGAUGUGAAAUGAAUAAAAAUGUAUUAAUAAGGGAUCGAUCGGUAUCAAGAUCGCGUACGAAAAUCCCUACUCCCCUGGGGCUUCCGUCAAACUCCAGGAACUACGGCGGGGGUAACGGCAACAAGCGAGGGGGCGACGUUUCCCCGAACAUUGGCCCGUGGGGGUGUCACCCCGCCGCCCCGAGGAUCGGGCCGGUACAAUGGAAAUUCCCGAGUUCCUCGAAGUUCGGGGGGAUCGGGAACCGGGAUCGGGAUUUCCCCGAGCGAUCCAUUGUCGGGAACGACCUCGGCCCGGAGUGAUCGAAACUCUCCGCCGAGCCUUCGGGCUUCCGGGGCGACCUCGACAAUGGGCCGGGGGCUCCGGGCUCGCUAAAACCCCGAGAAAUCGACCAGCCCCGAUCGCGAUCGUACCUUUUCCUCGGGGAGGGAUCUUAAAUCUUAAAUAUGAAAUUUUAACCAAGACCGGGUCUCGGGAACGAGGUCCUUACCUCCGAGUCCUUGGACGAGGAAAGAACCGGAGAUCGAAACGCAUGAAUUAUUUAUCUUAAUUAUAUCUAGCCCCCUCUUAAUGGGUGCUCCGGCGGCGGCUCCGUUUUGUAAUUCCGGGGGCGGGAUAACGAGCGGAGAUUCCCCGGGAAUUGGGUUUAUUUUACUAAGCCGCGUAAAGAGGAACGAGGUGGAGGGAGGACCGGCUUGAAAGCGGGAGGAGCGCAAAGGGUUGGCCCGACUUUUAAGGAGCUUCCUUCCCCGGAAUAUCGUCCGCGGAAGAGGGAGGAAAUUAUCGGGGCCCCUAGGCUUCCGGGGGAAUAACGCGAAACGGCGACAUUUUUCCCCCGUAAACGAGGGAAUCGACUCCUCUCAUAAUUCGAGCCCGCGGGGGGAGCGGGAUUCCCCCUUUUCCCCCGAAGAAGCGGCGAGCCAAGUGGAAUCGAAUCGCGCAACCCUAAAUUCGUUCUCGCCUCCGUUCCCGCCUCGAAUGUUUAUCGUCAUCCCCUCGAUCAUUUAUCGGGCUCUUGCUCGAUCGAUCGAUCGCUUGCCCGGAUGUGAGGGCGGAUUGGAUUAAAAAAUCCUAGAUGGGUUCGUUAAGCCUUCGAUAAUCCCGAUUAUACCCCUCGCUCGUUAUUCCCCCCCUUUUGCGCUGUCUAUAGUGACGAGGAAAAUACCCUCUGGGUAAAAAACGCCGUUCUAGCGGAGUCGAGCGCCGUUAAACGGCGUUAAACGGCGUUAAACGGCGUUAAACGGCGUUAAACGGCGUUAAACGGCGUUAAACGGCGUUUAACGCCGUUUAACGGAGUUUAACGGCGCGCCGGUAGGUGGUGGGGGCGGUCACGUGGGGCGUCGGGCAUC